Molecule: ribosomal RNA, 254 nt
Filed under: uncultured bacterium
Lineage: Bacteria
Description: partial 16S ribosomal RNA
Rfam family: Bacterial small subunit ribosomal RNA
Source: RNAcentral
UACGUAGGGGGCUAGCGUUGUCCGGAUUUAUUGGGCGUAAAGAGCUCGUAGGCGGCUCAGUAAGUCGGGUGUGAAACCUCCAGGCUCAACCUGGAGACGCCACCUGAUACUGCUGUGGCUAGAGUCCGGUAGGGGAGCGUGGAAUUCCUGGUGUAGCGGUGAAAUGCGCAGAUAUCAGGAGGAACACCAGCGGCGAAGGCGGCGCUCUGGGCCGGAACUGACGCUGAGGAGCGAAAGCGUGGGUAGCAAACAGG